GAUGAACGCUGGCGGCGUGCUUAACACAUGCAAGUCGAACGGAAAGGCCCAAGCUUGCUUGGGUACUCGAGUGGCGAACGGGUGAGUAACACGUGGGUGAUCUGCCCUGCACUUCGGGAUAAGCCUGGGAAACUGGGUCUAAUACCGGAUAGGACCACAUUUUGGAUGGUGUGGUGGAAAGUUUUUCGGUGUGGGAUGAGCUCGCGGCCUAUCAGCUUGUUGGUGGGGUAAUGGCCUACCAAGGCGUCGACGGGUAGCCGGCCUGAGAGGGUGUACGGCCACCUUGGGACUGAGAUAAGGCCCAGACUCCUACGGGAGGCAGCAGUGGGGAAUAUUGCACAAUGGGCGCAAGCCUGAUGCAGCGACGCCGCGUGGGGGAUGACGGCCUUCGGGUUGAAAACUCCGUUCGCUAGGGACGAAGCGUUAUGUGACGGUACCUGGAGAAGAAGCACCGGCUAACUACGUG
This 466-nucleotide ribosomal RNA is filed under the name uncultured bacterium. RNAcentral describes it as "partial 16S ribosomal RNA". It matches the Rfam family "Bacterial small subunit ribosomal RNA", at positions 28 to 507 of the family's 1533-position model. The record is from RNAcentral.